Molecule: long non-coding RNA, 4450 nt
Filed under: Sus scrofa (pig)
Lineage: Eukaryota; Metazoa; Chordata; Mammalia; Artiodactyla; Suidae
Description: lncRNA (ENSSSCG00015041715.1)
Source: RNAcentral
CAGAAGCCCUUUUAGUAUUUCUUUUAGAAUCCAGUUCGUAUUACUGUAUUCUUUUAGCUUUUGCUUGUUGGAGAAAUUAUUUUUUUCCCUUCUAUUUUAAAUGAUAUUCUUGCAGGAUAGAGUAUUCUAGGUUGCAUAUUUUUUUCCUUUCAGUGCUUUAAAUAUAUCUUGCUGUUCCCUCCUGUCCUAUAGAGUUUCUGUAGAGAAAUUAGCUGAUAGCCUUAUGGUGGUUCCCUUAUAAUUGACACUUUGCUUUUCUCUUGCUGCCGUUAGAAUCCUCUCUUUAUCAUUAACUUCUGCCAUUUUUUUUUAUAAUAUGUCUUGCCAUGGGCCGUUUGGGUUCAACUUGUUUGGGGCCAUCUGUGCUUCCUGUAUCUUGAUAUCAGUAUCCUUUAUAUUUUGAAAGUUUUCAGCCAUCAUUUCUUCAAAUAUAUUUUUCAAUCCCAUUUUCUUUUUCUCUUCCUUCUCCAAUUCCUAUUAUGUAUAGAUUGGCCUGCUUUAUAUUAUCUUUUAUGUCUCUUAUAUUGCUUUCAUGUUUUUUCAUUUGGUUUUCUGUCUGAUGUCCUGUUUGGGUGAUUUCCAUUAUUCUAUCUUCCACAUCACUAAUUCAUUCCUCUGCAUUAUUCAUUCUGGUCUUUAUUGCCUUUAGCUCCAUUUGUAUCUCUGCAAAUGAAUUUUCCAGUUUUUCUUGGUUCCUCCUUAUAUUUUCUAGUUACUUUCUGAGGGAAUCUGCGUUACUGUACGUAUCUUCUCUUAAUUCCUUCAGUAUUUUCACUAUCUCCCUUUUGAACUCAAAGUCUGUCAGACUACAGAGGUCUGUUUCAUUGUUAAUAUCUUUAGGUGAAUUAUCUUGCUGCUUUAACUGGAAUGGUUUCUGGGCUUCUUCAUCUUGCUUGUGUCUUUUUCUGUGAAUUUGGGGAAGCCAAACUGUACUUUGGCAGUCUGGGGUGCACUGUGUGGCAGGGUGCUUCCCUGGCUGUGCUGUGGUGGCUUGGUGCUUCCUGUAGAUGGGCAGGGCUGGCCGAGUCAUGCUGUGGUCGUGGUGCACUUCUCAUGGGAAGAUGGGUCUGGCCAGAGUGUGCCAUGGCAGUGGGGCAUUCCCCAGGGUGGGCAGGGCUGGCCUGGCUGCGCCGCAGUGGUGGUCAGCUUCUCAGUGGGUGGUGGGACCAGUGUGCCAUGGAUGGCCACAGGGGUGGGUGGGAUGUACUGAGAACACUCUGCUCUCUAUUAGCUGGGAGGCAAGCAUGCAUGCUGGGGCACAAGGAGUUUUCUAUGAUGGCCUGCCCCUUCUCCUCUCCCCUCCCCAACAAUGGCCCCUUGACUCUCCUGUGGGCCCAGACCUUCUCCCGGGUUCCCUCUGUCGUGACUUUCCACUCCCCAACCCUUAGCAUAUAACUCCUUCCACCCUCAGANGGAGCCCUGCUCCCUAGUCCCUUAGGCUGUCUCCGCACCGCCAACCCCAGCCCGCUCCCAAGGACUGACCUCUGGACCCUAGUCUUGGUGCCCAGCCCCCUUCCAACCAUCUCAGUCUUUGGUGUCUGUGCCAAUGGUUCAGAUGAUCUGUGGGUCUCUCACUCGCUUUUCAGUUCUCAGUCCUGCUGAUAUGCUUUUCUUAGUGUCUUGGAGAUCCCUCUGACUCGGCUGAUCUUUCCAUCCGUUAGGUGGCUUCCCAGAGUGUAGGUUCCUUUUCUCCUUCACAGCUCCCUCUCAAGAAUGCCAGUCCCGUCCUGAUUCCCCUUUUCUCUCUCACCUCUUUUCUGUCAUUUUACCCAGUUAUGUCAAGAGAUUCUUGCUGUUUUUGGAGGUUCAAGAUCUUCUGCCAGCAAUCUGUAGAUGCUCUGUAUGAGUCAUUUUAUGUGUAAAUGUGGUUUUUUGUUGUGUUUGUGGCAGAGGGCAAACACGUCCCCCUACUCUUCUGCCAUCUUGCCUCAAUAAAACUAUUUCUUGUUCUGCUGAUAUCCUUUAAGAAUAUUGAUUUUGGCUCUUUGGCUAACUCCUCUCCAUCCUUUCAAACUAAAGACUGUGUUCUUUAAAAGGCUAAGUAGGAAGUUCCUGUUGUGGCUCAGGGGGUUAAGGACACAACCAUAUCUAUGUGAGGAAAUGGGUUUCAUUCCUUGCCUCACUCAGUGGGUUAAGGAUCUGACAUUGCCACAAGCUGCAGUGUAAGUUGCAGAUUCACCUCAGAUCCCACAUUGCUGUGCCUGUACUGCAGUAUGCAGCUGCAGCUGCAAUUCAACCGCUGGCCUGGAAACUUGCAUAUGCCAUAGGUGCAACCGUAAAAAGAAGAAGAAAAAAAAAAAGGGCUAAAUGUAUAGGCAUUAUUGCAUUGCUUCUUUAAUCACUCUUUAGGAAGUUCAAGACUCUAAUUUCCUCUAUAAGUGAUGUUGGUGACAUUACUAUCUCACAGUUUGGCACUUUAUUUCUUGCUGGCCACAGAAUAGCACCACUUGGAUACUAUGCUAUCUAAUCAUUUUUUUACACAAAAUUUCACCUAGUUAAGUCACCUGCAACAUCACCUAAUAGUUAAUUGUAGUUUUCACAGUUCUAUGUACUGUAUAAAACAGUAUUUGAAGAACAAUGAACUUCUGAUCAAGUUAGUUAUUCAAGUUUAAGCCUAGAUAGUGAAGGUCCACCAGACAGCAAUAUUAGACAAAUAUUCAAGAGAACAUAUAAUGCUAUAACUCAGUAAAGACAUUUGAGUAGUUUCCCGGUUUGGACAGUUACUAAGGAAGCUACUAGAAACAUUCCUGGGAAAAUCUUUUUAUGAACUUGCAUUUACUUCCCUUCGGUAUAUUCCCAGCAAUGUAAAUUGUUAGGUCAUAUGAUAGGAGUAUGUUUAACAGUAUUAGCAACUGCCAAACAAUUUUGCAAAGCGGUUGUACCAAAUACAUUACCUCCAUCAACGUAUAACAGUUCUAUUUGCUCCUCAUCCUUGUUGACAUUUAGUAUUGUUUAUCUUUCUAAUAUGACUCAUUCUUUAGUGGUAUGCCAUUGUGGUUUUAAUUUACCUGAUAACAACAUUAAGUAUCUUUUCCAAUACUUCUUGCCUAUUUGCAAAAAUGUCUGAGCAAGACAUUAGUCCUUGAGUUGUCAUUUUAUUAAGACACAGGAAUAAUAUAUAUAUUCUAUAUACAAGUUCUUUGUCAUAUGCAUUUAUUCCCAGUCUAUGGAUGUUCUUUUUACUUUUUGCCUUUGGAUGAGAAAAGUUUUUAAUUUUGAUGAAAUUCAAUUUAAAUUGGUUUUUGUUAUUGUCAGAGCUUAUUGUUCCUGAUUUAAGAAGUCCUUGUCUUCCCUAAAUCAUAAAGAUGUUUUAUGGUUUGUUUGAGAAGUUUUACGAUUUUAGCAUUUAUAGUUAUGUUUAUCAUCCACCUUGAAUUAAUUUUCAUUUACAUUUAAGAUGAAUGUCAAGGUUCAUUUUUUCCCACAUAAAUAUCCAGCCUGCAAUACCAUUUUAUUUAAAGUUCUUUCAUUUAAUUAUUCUGCUGCCUUUGUCAAAAGUCAAAUAUAUGUUUGGGACUAUUUUGGAACUCUCAAUUCUGUUUCAUUGAUGCAUUUCUCUGUUAUAUUGCCUCUACCAUACUGUUUAACUAUUGCCACUUUAUAAUAUCUUGAGUCUGGCAUCUUCUCCAACUUUGCUCUCUUUCUUCAAGACUCUCUGGUUAUUCUAAGUAUUCUGCAUUUUCACAUAAAUUUUAGAAACAUCUUUAACAAAGAGUAGCUGGAUUUUGAUUGGGAUGCAUUGAACCUAUAGAUUGAUGUGGGGAAACUGGAGUUUUCAAAUCCAGGAACAUUGUAUAUUUCACCAUUUAUUUAAGUCUUCCUUAAUUUCUCUUAGCAAAUUUUUGUAGUUUUGAGUAUUAGACAACUUGAACAUCUCUUAGAAUUUUUCAUGGGUAUUUGUAUUUAAGGACAUCCUAGGUCAUUUCCAGAUAUUCUUUGAUUUCAAUGCUGAUGAUGAGUUUUUAAACAUAAUUUAUUUUUUGCUCUUUAUUUCACUUUCCUAUGAUUUGCUGCUAACGUACAGACUUGUCCAUGGGGACACAAUAAAUGGUAACUAAAAAUUUAGGGAUAUUGGUUGAAUACUAAUGCUAUUUCUCAUUUUCAAAUGCCUCCCAUCCUCUGGGUUGUUAAUAUAUUUGCAGUCAUCAUCCUAGCCAGAUUACAUGGAACUUUUAUAAUCACUUUUGACUUUCAAAAUUGCCAAAUAAACAGAGAAAUUACAGCAGAUGUUUCUUCUUUUUAAAUUGAUAUGAAUUGGCUUUCCCAGCUAUACUCUCUUAUCAAAUUCUUUUUUCCAGAAUAUAUUAGUGAAAAUAUUUACAGAGAGCUUUAAGGUGAUUUGUUCUUUUUGACAUUUCGAGUAUAUAAAACAAAGCCAGAUAAUCUUUAAAAACCAUUCCUGAUAUUCUCUGUAGCCCCAGGGAACUAGCAUCACAUAUAUGACAUAAGC